GCGUGUGCGGGCUAAACGAAAGCGUCCAGUAUUUUUGUAAUGUAGUUGGCGCAAGAAACUGGAGUUGAAGUAAACUUCAGAGCUAGAUGGUUAGCUGUCUGUCUAAAUACCCACAUCUUCUUCCACAUGUAGCUAACAUUAGGAGCUUGGAAGGGGCUGAGAAAAUGGCUUCAAGUCCCAGAUCAUCUCUUCCAGAGGAAGAUUUCACCUGCCCUGUGUGCUGUGACGUCUUCAAGAAUCCUGUCCUCCUACCAUGGAGCAGCCACAGCUACUUGUAAAGUCCCUCUGCAGCAAUGCUGGGAGUUGAAGGGGGUUCGGGAAUGCUCCGUUUGCAGAAAUAUAUUUUCAAUGGGUAAUCCUCCCUGUAACCUGGCUCUAUAGAACCUGUGUGAGGUCUACCCUGAGGAGAGUCAAAAGUGCUCUGCAUGGUGAGAAAUUCAAGUACUAUUGUCUGGAGGAUAAGCAGCCCAUCUGUUUAGUGUGUCAAUCUUCUAGAAAACACAAGAGUCAUGACCGCUGCCCCAUAGACGAAGCUGUUCAGGGCCUCAAGGAGAAGGUACAACGACGUAAAGACAUGCGUUUUACAGAGUCACGUUUUUAUUGAACAUAAUACAUUUUCUAUGUGAGGUGUUUAAAUACUGUAUACAGAUUAUUAGAUUAUUAUACCGUAAAAUAAGGUGUUCUUUCGUUUCAGGGUGAACACCAGAGAGCACUAAAACCCUUACAGGAGAUGCUAAAGUAUUUCAAAGAAGCUACAGACAUCUGUACUUCCACAAUGCCUCACAUUCAGUAGGACGAAGUUGAGUUUAAUAUAAGAGAAAGCAGCAAUAAUGUAUUAGAUCAAUAUUUAAUUAUGUUUGCAUUUGGUUGCCAAAUGUUUGAUAGAGAUGGCUAAAUUAUAACUUUUCACAGCGAGACUCUGCAGUAGGACUGAUUCAUUCACUACUGUACCGAUGGCCUGCUAAAAUCAGACCAGAGUCCGUCAACCAGACCAGGGAAUUGGUUUUCUGGAUGAAAUGUGAGAAUUCCAGUAACGUAAUGUAAUAACAGUUCUCCCACUGUCUCCAGAGAUAAUUCCAAGACGCAGAGAUCGAGAUCAAGCAUGAAUUCAAGGAGUUUCCGCAGUUUCUUAGAGAUGAAGAGAAGGCCAGGUUUGACACACUGCGGCAGGAACAGUUUGCGAAGACUUCAGCAAUGGUUAAUAGGAUUGACCAGUUGAGACAAGAGAUGUCAUCAAUUGUAAACACAAUUGAAGCUUAUAGAGGAUGAGCUAUGAGAUUACGACACCUCAUUCCUUCAGGACAAUAAUGGAAAGAGCCCAGUGCACACUGCCUGAUCCAGAUACACAGCUGGUCUCAGGAGCACUGAUUGACGUGGCGAAACAUCUGGGCAAUCUGCAGUUCAAAGCUUGGGAGAAGAUGCAGAGGAAUGGGAUUGUCACUUAGAGUUUGUAUCCAUUUUUUAAAUCUUAGUAAAUACUGGUGGUGGACACCAAUAUUGAUAAUUAGAUAUGAUAUUGAUAUGACCGAGGCAUAUCGUGAUAGGUUUAUUAUUCCUGUUAACCUGACCUGGCCCAAUGGGCAAUCCGCAAGCAGCUGUCUGGACUUCACAGAGCUGUGGAAGUGAACAGAAAAGUGAAAAUGUUAUAUAGGGCUGUUAAUGUUAAUAACCUGUUAAAGAGUGACAUGUUAUUUUGCCACUAUUUUUUUUU
This is a long non-coding RNA of Oncorhynchus masou masou (cherry salmon), 1711 nucleotides long. RefSeq lists it as uncharacterized. NCBI's taxonomy places the organism in Eukaryota, Metazoa, Chordata, Actinopteri, Salmoniformes, Salmonidae. The transcript is spliced from 3 exons. The record is from RefSeq and is a predicted model, not a curated record.